This 5326-nucleotide long non-coding RNA is filed under the name Nicotiana tabacum (common tobacco). RNAcentral describes it as "long non-coding RNA (NTAB_LNC003495)". The record is from RNAcentral. Lineage: Eukaryota; Viridiplantae; Streptophyta; Magnoliopsida; Solanales; Solanaceae.
GUCUCUGCAUUUGCAGAUAACCGACGAUCGACUCACAUUUUCCGGCUACUUUAUCUUCAGAGUUUAAAUGGUUGAUCAACGUCUUCUCAAGAGCUGUGUCAUUUAAUUUUUACUUCAUUUUUCGCAUUCAUUAGGGGAGAGUGUGAAUAUUUCUACAGCACAAUAGAAGGAGACUAUCUAGUUAGGAGUUAGACUAGGAAUAUCAUUGGUCAUCUAUUGAUGCAGGCCUUUACCUUCUAGUGGUACUAUACCAGCCAUCUAUUUUGUAUCCUGUAUUUCAUAUCUCUUAUAUAUUGUUGUUAUUUUUAUUACGCAUUUUUAUGGUACUAAUAUAUCAUCUCCUAUUGCUUUUUUGAGCCGAAGGUCUCCUGGAAACAGCCUAUCUACCCUUCGGGGUAGGGGUAAGGUCUGCGUACAUAUUACCCUCCCCAGACCCCACUUGUGGGAUUACACUGGGUCGUUGUUGUUGUUGUUGUUUUCGCAUUGAACCGUUUGUCAUCCGAAAUUCGCUGAUUUUUAUUCUUUCUUUUCUUCACCUUUCAAUUGGUAUAGGGUUGCAUGAGGUUGAAAAUCCAGUUAAGAGGUAAUUUGUACUACCUUCUCCUGUUUUAUUCAUGUAAUUAAACUGUUCUUAUUUUGAAUCGUCUAUUUUUAGUUUGAUUUUAGGAACAAAAUACACUAAAGAUAGAAGUGAAUCGAAGCAGACAUUAUAUCUAUAUAUUAUGCAUUUGCUUUCUUCAUAAACUAAUACAUGAAUUCACAACUUAUGCUUUCACAUUUAGUGGAGAACUUGUGAUGUUAUUGAGUAUUGGCUGCAAAUUUGUUCUCACUGUAGCUUCAAGUUCUUCAGAAGCCUGUUCAAUACGAAAUAGGCAUGUAAAAAAAUUGAUCAAUGAUGAGGAAAUAACCAUUGUUUAUUUGUCUGAGAAACAAAUACUAUUUUGCUUAUAAAGAAAGUUUGAAAUUCAGCAAAACAUUAUCAAUUUGAGUUCAGAGAUUCGUCCAACUUUAUCAGAAGUAACUCUUAAUAGUCCUCUUUUUGCUUAUAUUCUUAGUGCUGCUGACACAGAGGGGUUUUUCUUUCAAGUGUAAGUGCUGCUGAAAUUAUCUUCUUGAUAAGUGACUAAUUGGGAUUGCUGAAGGGUUAUUGAGGAAUGUGAGGAGCUCAUAAAAUAUUUGUUGCAUCAUGUGAUGAUAUGUAUGAUCAGCACUAGAAACAAUUGUUAAACAAUUGUAUUUUGUAUAAUGAGGUGGUAGGGGAUCGAGAUGUAGGACUUGUGCACGUGAUCUAAACAAGUAGGAUUAUAUUUCAUUAUUUAGAAGCUUAAUUAAUAGGUAAAUGUGCAGACAUCUCUGGAACUUUCCACUUGCAAAAAGUUGAAGCUUUAAGCAUUUAUUCUUUAGAAUAUAGGGGUCAAUUAUUUUUUUUAUUUUUUUUGUAUAGCAAGGAGAGUGACUAGCCUUUGACUUAAAGUUACUAAAAAUGGAAAGGUGGUUAAUAAGCAGUACCAGAAAUAGGAGAAUAACAACAUAUGGAAUCUAUACAGGGUAUGUCAAUUAUCAAAGUUACCAAGUUUUACAUACUUUGUUUUGUUAACAAGCUUAAAAGAUAACGUUUUGAUGGUGUUUUCUUAAAUCAUUCGUUGUGAAAAUUAAUGAUUGGCAGAUAUAACAAAAUGCUUAGCCUUAAAAAUACAGAAUGUAUCAUUGACUUUUAUGUAGAUGAAAAGAUUAGUUUGGCUGUGUGGAGAGUAGAGAUUUGCUAUACCUUUGUUCAUUGGCAUAACCUCUGCUAUUGCUUCCAACGGCUUUGUAAUUGGGCAAAGGUACUUGGCCAUUUUCAAUUUGCAUGAUAUCCUUCAAAAGCAACUCAUAAUGUCUCCUCACUUCCUCUGCUGAUUUUCCACCUACACACCUGGCAAUGUUAUGCCAGCGGUCAGGAGUUUCCUUGUCAAAUAAAGCCAACGCCUCCUCAAACUUCUUGUUUUGCCUUGUAGUCCAUGAGGCCAUUAUUGAUUAAUAGGGAUAGAGGGUUGAGAGCUACCUCAGGCAAAGUCAAGUGUUCAAGUGAAUGGUAUGGACAAGAUAAUGCUAAGCUAGCUAGUUCCUUAUAAGCUGGGGGAGUGGUCUUGGUUUCUGGCAAGUUGGCGAAUAUUUCGUUUUCUUUUAGGGAGGUGGAAUACAUGGUUAUUGAAGUAAUGCUAAUGGGAAUAGGUGGAAGGAGAAUAAGGAAAUAGUAUUUGUGACUUUGCUUGCUUUAUUUGGAAAGUAAUGUCAUCAGCAAGUGGAUCAGAUAAGAAAUUCACCCAGCUGGAGGAGAUUAGAUCCCCUAAUUCCAAUUCUAUGGCUAUGAUAGACGCGCCAAUGUUUUAUAAUAUUUAGGCUGAAAAAUAAUUAUCAAGAUAUUUUGCCAGCUUCUAGGUUGCAAAAUGUUGCUUAAAUUCUGCAUCAAUUGGUAAACCAUUUGUCAUCCUUCAAUUGUUAUCUGCCAGUCAUUUGUUGACAAUGCGUGCAUUAACCUAAGCAUUGUUGAUCUUUAUGUUUUGAUGAUAACGAAUUAUGAACAAAGUGAAAAGAGCUUAAAAUAACUCAAUUUCAUUGUUCUUUAAGUUUUAUCAUCUUACAUUUGAAUGGUUAUAACUAUUAGGUUGCUUAUAGCUGUAUCAAAUUAUGAUCCCGAGUUGCAAGUUGGAACAGGCAAGUGACUGCUGCUUAUGUUUAUUCUCUCUAGGAAUGGAGUCACCCUGUGCGUAUUUCUAUUACCGCUUCUACAGAAUUCCCUCCUUUUGUUUUUUAAGAUAUGGUGUAGGUAUGCAUUGCUUCUUACUAAUGUUUCUUGUUAUGUUAGUUUCUGCCAUAACGGCCUUUCCAGUUUGGAUCACAUUGAGGCGUUUGUCAUUCUUAGAUGAAUUACUUUUGAGUCAAAGUAAUAGUUCUCAAAAAGACUCUCAAAAUUACCAAAAAGGGAAGAAUUGUCCCUUUUAGACCACUUGCUUUGAGACCUUUUUCACUUGAGAUACUGUCUGCCAACAUGGGAGAGGAGGUGAAGGGACACCUUUUGUCAAAAUACUGCAGUAGGAAUCUAUGUUAUUAUACAACAAAGUAUCUGAUGUUUAAGUAUCUCAUGUAAAUACGGCUGGAGCCUCCUUGUGGUUUUGAAAACAAUGUGUUUCCCCAUAACUCUCUGAGUAUUCUGUUUUCCUCUAAAACCUUGAUUUAAAUGUCCAAAAUAUCCUCCAUUUCUAUGUCAAAAGAUUCUAUAUAAUUGAUUGAACAUUAAGCAACUUAAUCUAAAAGUAGUAUAACCAUAAGGUUCUUAGAUAUAUUUACUUAAAUUAAGUACUAUUAAGUUAUCUAGUGUAAUUGUAUUACUCCUUUUGUUUCAAAAAGGAUGCCACUGUUGCCAAUAGUCUGUUUGGAAAAGAACGAAACCUUCUAAAUUUGGAAAUAAUUUAACUUGAAUUUCUCAUUUUACCAUUCAUGACAAGCUUUUACUUGGGAAGAAGAAGAAUUAGAUUUUCUUUUUACAUACAUUUUUAGUGGGAAAGGUGUGCAACCAGUGACGAAGCCCAGGAAUUUUCUCAAGAGUAUUCAAACUUGAAAGAAGUGAAAAUUCUCCGAUGAAGAGUGUUCAAUAUAUGUUAUAUACCUUUAAAACCUAGUAUUUUACCUAUAUACGCAGUGUAAUUUUCUAACGAAGCCUUUAAGACAUGUGGCUUCGCCCUAUGUGCAACACUUAUGUCAGGAGACUAUAUGGAAACAGAAGGGAGCUCUUAGCUUAUUUCUACACCAUAUGUAGGUAAUACGCAAGUUCCAAAACCGCAGAGAGUUCAUGCGCUUUUAUUCUUAUUCAGAACAAUGAACUAAAGUCUACUUACUAUGGAAACUUAUUUACUCGAGAUAUCAAUGUUUGAAUCUGCAAUGAAGUAGAAAUUUGUUUCAAUUCUGGUAGGAAGUAUGUUUAACAGUCAAGACGAAACAAAUCAUGCACAUCUCUAUCGUCCAAGAGAAAGGUCUUAUCUAACACAGAUGAUAUCAGUGACUUCUCAAAAAAUCAGAGGAGCUGAGAUUAGACCUUUCAACAAUUAUUCAGUCGCAUGCUAGUUAUAAAAGCUUGAGGAGUACACUAAGGAUGGAAUCUUUGGAUAUGCCACAAAGAGAAGUAUAUUUUGUUGAAAAAAUCUAUAUAUAGUGUGAUUGAAUCAACAUAGAAAUUUGCCACAAAUAGAAUAAGCAGGUGGUUUUACUUCAUUUUCUUUCCUUUUCUUUUUAUCUUUUUUUUUUUUUGCGGAUGCUGAAAUGUUCCAAAUGAUAAAAAAGAUAGAUGCAGGAGAAGUAUCUUCUCAUCUUAUAUUUAGAUAAGAGACCUUAAAUAAUGCAAGAUUAGUGGUCACUGGUCACUUAAUAUUCUGGAUAUGUUUUCUUCUUUUUUGAGUCAAAUGUGGGCGCUUGCCUGUGCAUAGAUGUGAAUUAGAACAAUUGUCUGUCUAAGGAGAGCGUUUAUAUAACAGUAAUAUGCUCAGCACUUGCAUACUUUUGAUCAAAAUGGAAUUUUCUUGCCUUAUUCUCUUUGCUUUUUUAAGGUCUGAUAAGCAAAUGGCUUGUAAAAGGGGAAUUUCAAAGAGGAAAUUGAGACAUGCAGAAUCAGUAUGUCUUUUUGAGGAAUGUUUUCUAGCUUUCUAGUGGUAUAUUAUUGGAUUCUGGUAUUCAGUGGUUAGAAAUAAAAGAUAACUUCCUAAAAGAUGUCAAAAUUAUUGAAGUUAUUGCUUUCUUUAAUGACCUUAUCCUGGUUUGUGAUAUUUAUAUUGCAAUAUGUGCAGGUUGGUGGUCAUAAAACAUAAGAUCUUUCACUGGUGCCUAGUUCGGGUGAAAUUAAAAAAUAGCCAGAUUUACAAGUGGUAGUUGAAAAAUAGCCACAGUUUCAAAAGUAAUCGAAAUUUAGCCAAUUUUCAUGUAGAGAUAAAUCUGAACGAAAAUACUGUUCAAAAUUCGAAAAAUAUUCCAGCAUAAUAUUUUGGAGUUCGAAUUUUUACAUGUGAACUUCCAGCAUAAUAUACUGGUCCAGCAUAUUACAGGUGUUCCAAUCUCCAGUAUAUUAUGUUGGAACUUUCCGUGUACUGGAGUUCCAGCAUAAUAUGCUGGAAGUUCAUAUAUAGGUGCACCAAUCUCUAGUAUAUUAUGCUGGAGCUUUUCGUGUUGUAGCUAAAUAUUGACUAUUUUUUAAUGACUUCAAUUACCAGUCCGAAAACUGGCUUGCCCAUACUAUUUUCACGCCUAAUUCGUGGUGUAAAUAAGAAGCCCAAGUUUGAUAAGAAUAUGUAUUAUG